RNAcentral lists this ribosomal RNA (370 nucleotides) under Glomus sp. RNAcentral describes it as "SSU rRNA". It matches the Rfam family "Eukaryotic small subunit ribosomal RNA", at positions 548 to 922 of the family's 1831-position model. The record is from RNAcentral. Lineage: Eukaryota; Fungi; Glomeromycota; Glomeromycetes; Glomerales; Glomeraceae.
UUGGAGGGCAAGUCUGGUGCCAGCAGCCGCGGUAAUUCCAGCUCCAAUAGCGUAUAUUAAAGUUGUUGCAGUUAAAAAGCUCGUAGUUGAAUUUCGAGACCGGUUUACUGGUCGUGCUUUUGUACGUACUGGUAUUAUUGGUUUCUCCUUUCUGACGAAUCAUAAUGCCAUUAAUUUGGUGUUUUGGGGAAUCAGGACUGUUACUUUGAAAAAAUUGAGUGUUUAAAGCAGGCUCACGCUUGAAUACAUUAGCAUGGAAUAACGAAAUAGGACGUUUGAUUUUUAUUUUGUUGGUUUCUAGGAUCGACGUAAUGAUUAAUAGGGAUAGGUUGGGGGCAUUAGUAUUCAAUUGUCAGAGGUGAAAUUCUUG